This 497-nucleotide ribosomal RNA is filed under the name uncultured bacterium. RNAcentral's name for it is "partial 16S ribosomal RNA". It matches the Rfam family "Bacterial small subunit ribosomal RNA", at positions 28 to 507 of the family's 1533-position model. The record is from RNAcentral.
GAUGAACGCUGGCGGCGUGCCUAAUACAUGCAAGUCGAGCGAACAGACGAGGAGCUUGCUUCUUCGACGUUAGCGGCGGACGGGUGAGUAACACGUAGGUAACCUACCUAUAAGACUGGGAUAACUUCGGGAAACCGGAGCUAAUACCGGAUAAUAUUUCGAACCGCAUGGUUCGAUAGUGAAAGAUGGCUUUGCUAUCACUUAUAGAUGGACCUGCGCCGUAUUAGCUAGUUGGUAAGGUAACGGCUUACCAAGGCAACGAUACGUAGCCGACCUGAGAGGAUGAUCGGCCACACUGGAACUGAGACACGGUCCAGACUCCUACGGGAGGCAGCAGUAGGGAAUCUUCCGCAAUGGGCGAAAGCCUGACGGAGCAACGCCGCGUGAGUGAUGAAGGUCUUCGGAUCGUAAAACUCUGUUAUUAGGGAAGAACAAACGUGUAAGUAACUGUGCACGUCUUGACGGUACCUAAUCAGAAAGCCACGGCUAACUACGUG